Molecule: ribosomal RNA, 383 nt
Filed under: uncultured bacterium
Lineage: Bacteria
Description: bacterial SSU rRNA
Rfam family: Bacterial small subunit ribosomal RNA
Source: RNAcentral
GACGAACGCUGGCGGCGUGCUUAACACAUGCAAGUCGAGCGGUAUGGCCCUUUCGGGGGUACACGAGCGGCGAACGGGUGAGUAACACGUGGGUGACCUGCCUUUAGCUCUGGGAUAAGCCUGGGAAACUGGGUCUAAUACCGGAUACGACUCCGCGGUGCAUGCUGUGGGGUGGAAAGCCUUGUGCGGCUGGAGAUGGGCCCGCGGCCUAUCAGCUUGUUGGUGGGGUGAUGGCCUACCAAGGCGACGACGGGUAGCCGGCCUGAGGGGGCGACCGGCCACACUGGGGACUGAGACACGGCCCAGACUCCUACGGGAGGCAGCAGUGGGGAAUCUUGCGCAAUGGGCGGAAGCCUGACGCAGCGACGCCGCGUGGGGAUGAC